RNAcentral lists this ribosomal RNA (271 nucleotides) under uncultured bacterium. RNAcentral's name for it is "partial 16S ribosomal RNA". It matches the Rfam family "Bacterial small subunit ribosomal RNA", at positions 524 to 791 of the family's 1533-position model. The record is from RNAcentral.
UACGGGGGGGGCAAGCGUUGUUCGGAAUUACUGGGCGUAAAGGGCUCGUAGGCGGCCAACUAAGUCAGACGUGAAAUCCCUCGGCUUAACCGGGGAACUGCAUCUGAUACUGGAUGGCUUGAGUUCGGGAGAGGGAUGCGGAAUUCCAGGUGUAGCGGUGAAAUGCGUAGAUAUCUGGAGGAACACCGGUGGCGAAGGCGGCAUCCUGGACCGGCACGUGACGCUGAGGAGCGAAAGCCAGGGGAGCAAAGCGGGGAUUAAGAAACCCGGA